GAUGAACGCUGGCGGCGUGCCUAGUACAUGCAAGUCGAGCGAACAGACGAGGAGCUUGCUCCUCUGACGUUAGCGGCGGACGGGUGAGUAACACGUGGAUAACCUACCUAUAAGACUGGGAUAACUUCGGGAAACCGGAGCUAAUACCGGAUAAUAUAUUGAACCGCAUGGUUCAAUAGUGAAAGACGGUUUUGCUGUCACUUAUAGAUGGAUCCGCGCCGCAUUAGCUAGUUGGUAAGGUAACGGCUUACCAAGGCAACGAUGCGUAGCCGACCUGAGAGGGUGAGCUGCCACACUGGAACUGAGACACGGUCCAGACUCCUACGGGAGGCAGCAGUAGGGAAUCUUCCGCAAUGGGCGAAAUCCUGACGGAGCAACGCCGCGUGAUUGAUGAAGGUCUUCGGAUCGUAAAACUCUGUUAUUAGGGAAGAACAAAUGUGUAAGUAACUAUGCACGUCUUGACGGUACCUAAUCAGAAAGCCACGGCUAACUACGUG
RNAcentral lists this ribosomal RNA (497 nucleotides) under uncultured bacterium. RNAcentral describes it as "partial 16S ribosomal RNA". It matches the Rfam family "Bacterial small subunit ribosomal RNA", at positions 28 to 507 of the family's 1533-position model. The record is from RNAcentral.